Molecule: ribosomal RNA, 498 nt
Filed under: uncultured bacterium
Lineage: Bacteria
Description: partial 16S ribosomal RNA
Rfam family: Bacterial small subunit ribosomal RNA
Source: RNAcentral
GACGAACGCUGGCGGCGUGCCUAAUACAUGCAAGUCGAACGAGAGCGACCGGUGCUUGCACUGGUCAAUCUAGUGGCGAACGGGUGAGUAACACGUGGGUAACCUGCCCAUCAGAGGGGGAUAACAUCCGGAAACGGAUGCUAAAACCGCAUAGGUCUUCGAACCGCAUGGUUUGAAGAGGAAAAGAGGCGCAAGCUUCUGCUGAUGGAUGGACCCGCGGUGCAUUAGCUAGUUGGUGAGGUAACGGCUCACCAAGGCCGUGAUGCAUAGCCGACCUGAGAGGGUGAUCGGCCACAUUGGGACUGAGACACGGCCCAAACUCCUACGGGAGGCAGCAGUAGGGAAUCUUCCGCAAUGGACGCAAGUCUGACGGAGCAACGCCGCGUGAGUGAAGAAGGUUUUCGGAUCGUAAAACUCUGUUGUUAGAGAAGAACAAGUGCUAGAGUAACUGUUAGCGCCUUGACGGUUUCUAACCAGAAAGCCACGGCUAACUACGUG